This is a small nucleolar RNA of Salvia miltiorrhiza (redroot sage), 221 nucleotides long. RefSeq annotates it as small nucleolar RNA U3. The record is from RefSeq and is a predicted model, not a curated record. Lineage: Eukaryota; Viridiplantae; Streptophyta; Magnoliopsida; Lamiales; Lamiaceae. The transcript has a single exon.
ACGACCUUACUUGAACAGGAUCUGUUCUAUAGGCUCGUACCUCUGUAUCCUUGAUUUCUAAGGAGACAGGAAAACCAAGUCUGGUGGAUGAGCCAUGGCUGCUCGACCAGAGCGUGAUUAACCGCACCCAGUGGUUCGGUUGCUGAGCUGCUGGUGCAGUGGAGGAUCGUUCUUGGCUCGCUUUGUCGGGUAGAGAUGGUCUUGCAGCUGUCUGACAGACU